GGGGAAUGAGGAUCAGCAGUAGUUUUGACAUGUUUCUGACGAUGAUCUGACCCAGAGGUGGGCGAAGUCUUGGGAAAAGCUUUUGUAGAAUUAUCAUUAUCAAUACGUCUUACAAAGUUGAUCUUUGAAGCAGAAGAAGGCGUGGCGGGUUGACUUUUUGAUCUUCGAGGCGGACUCAGAUUGUGAGGUAGAGGUGGAUGAUGAUCAGAAGAAGGCGUGGGAGGUUGACUUUUUGCUUUUGGAGUUGAAAUCGGAGUCGGAGGUGGAGGUGGAGCAGAAGAAGGUGUCUCGGAGUUGGGAUUAGUUUUGUUGCCGUUAGAAUUAGGAUUGGUUGCUGCAGCUUGUGGCUUUGGCUUUGAAGAGCUGGGAAA
Molecule: long non-coding RNA, 371 nt
Filed under: Cucumis sativus (cucumber)
Lineage: Eukaryota; Viridiplantae; Streptophyta; Magnoliopsida; Cucurbitales; Cucurbitaceae
Description: long non-coding RNA (CSAT_LNC000088)
Source: RNAcentral